AAAAAGAUAAGCUAAUUUAAGCUAAUGGGUUCAUACCCCAUCCAUGAAUAAAAUUCUCUUUUUA
This 64-nucleotide transfer RNA is filed under the name Lophops carinata. RNAcentral's name for it is "tRNA-Met". Lineage: Eukaryota; Metazoa; Arthropoda; Insecta; Hemiptera; Lophopidae. The record is from RNAcentral.